UCCGGCAGGCCUCCGCCCGCGGCGCCUAAUCCGAAGACGUCGUUCGGUGGGGAGUUUGGCUGGGGCGGCACAUCCGUUAAAAGGCAACGCGGGUGUCCAAAAGGGGAGCUCGGCGAGAAGGGAAAUCUCGCGUCGAACGAAAGGGUAAAAGCUCCCUUGAUUCCGAUCUUCAGUACUGAUACGAACCUCGAAAGAGUGGCCUAGCGAUCCUUUGGUCGUUCGCGACCUGAAGCCAGAGGUGUCAGAAAAGUUACCAAAGGGAUAACUGGCUUGUGGCGGCCAAGCGUUCUUAGCGACGUCGCUUUUUGAUCCUUCGAUGUCGGCUCUUCCUAUCAUUGUGAAGCAGAAUUCACCAAGUGUUGGAUUGUUCACCCUUCGAAAGGGAACGUGAGCUGGGUUUAGACCGUCGUGAGACAGGUUAGUUUUACCCUCCCGAUGAAAGGGAGGCGGCCGUAGCAGUAAUUGGACUCAGUACGA
This 477-nucleotide ribosomal RNA is filed under the name uncultured eukaryote. RNAcentral's name for it is "eukaryotic LSU rRNA". It matches the Rfam family "Eukaryotic large subunit ribosomal RNA", at positions 2555 to 3037 of the family's 3401-position model. The record is from RNAcentral.